RNAcentral lists this long non-coding RNA (467 nucleotides) under Coffea arabica (coffee). RNAcentral's name for it is "long non-coding RNA (CARA_LNC000003)". The record is from RNAcentral. Lineage: Eukaryota; Viridiplantae; Streptophyta; Magnoliopsida; Gentianales; Rubiaceae.
AGAACACGGUUGAAGGUUUAUUUCAGGUUUCAAGACUGCCAAGAUUAACCUCUUUGAUCCAAGAAGCUCAAGACUUCCCCAAUAAGGUUUUGAUGUUCGAGUUUUGCAAAGCAACAACACAAAGGUUCAAGAAACAAGUGCAAACAGAUUCGGCAACCCAGCAAUUAAUUCCAGCAACGACUCAAGGGAAUGACAAUAAGGUAUGCAACACAAGAGAUUUUUUUUUUUCUGGAUUUAAACAGAACAUAAACACAAGACAAAACUGGACAGAAAAUUUCGGACAACAACUAAACAACAAAGACAGAUUUCUGACAAGGAAACAACCAAGACAGAUUUCUGACAAGGAAACAACAAAGACAGAUUUCGGACUUGACAAACCCGAGCACUUGAGCUACGAAUUUAGAAGACUAAAAUAGAUCUAAAAACGAUAAAAAAGGAUAUUCGUGAUACCUCUAACUAGCUCUGAU